UGAUUUUUUUUCAUUAUAGCUGGUUUACAGUGUUCUGUCAGUGUUCUGUCAAUCUUCUACUGUACAGCAUGGUGACCCAGUUACACACAUAUGUAUACAUUCUUUUUUCUUACAUUAUCGUGCUCCACCAUAAGUGACUAGACAUAGUUCCCAGUGCUACACAGCAGGAUCUCAUUGCUAAUCCAUUCCAAAGGCAAUAGUCUGCAUCUAUUAACCCCAAGUUCCUCGGUUCUAUUGAUAAGCUCCCCAGCAGGGCCACUCAGCAACUGAGCCACUGACAUAAUUUCACUUUUCUAUCAAAACAAUGACUUAUAAAUAGAACUUCAUUUUUUUGGUCAUAAACAAGUUGAUUUGAAAUCCUAUCAAACCACUACAAAACAGGGUAGAAUGAGGGGGAAAAUACCAAGAAACAUUAUGUCUUCAAGAUGUUCAUUAUUGGGAGACAUUUUAACUUCUGCAGCCUCCAAAAAUGAUGUGUAUAAUUGUCAAGUACUACGUGGGUAUGGCAGUUGAUGAGAGCACGUCAUAGCAGACAAAUGUUUAGCUGACAAACUCUUUCCAGACAGGAUGUUUGCAGAGUAAUUUACAUAUUUGUGAUGUACUGAUUACGCAUUAGCCUAUCCACUUUGUUAAAGCAGGGGCAAAAAUUUGUCUAGUCAUACAAGCUUGCUUCCUCUCCCUUUCUUAGCCCUACUGCCUUGUGUAUUUGAAUUUGGCUCUGCAAGCACCAUCAAACCCCUCUUUGGUGCUAGAUCCUGCCCUGUGCAGAUGAGAUUUGGUCUCCAACUUCAAGGGGCUUCCAGUUAUUAUCCAUGGUCAUUGCCAUUUAAAAAAUUGACAUCGAAAAUGAAUGUUGAAAUUUCUGUUUUAGUACUCAAGUAGUCUCUAUGGAACACAGGCAGUAAUGCAACAUAAAGAUAAAUACAAUGAAAACACACUGACAUGCACGGAUACACACUGAACCCCACUCUAGAAAGCUCAACACUGUUAGCAUAUUAACGGUGGCAUUCAGAAGUUCCCACUGUGAUGCAGUGGGUUAAGAUUCCAGCAUAGUUUCUUCACUGUAACUGCAAUGUAUACAUCUAAGGAUGACCUGACCCCCUUGCUGUACAGUGGGAAAAUAAUAAAAAAAAAAAAGAAAAAAAGAAAAAAAAA
Molecule: long non-coding RNA, 1155 nt
Filed under: Sus scrofa (pig)
Lineage: Eukaryota; Metazoa; Chordata; Mammalia; Artiodactyla; Suidae
Description: lncRNA (ENSSSCG00025036028.1)
Source: RNAcentral